RNAcentral lists this ribosomal RNA (446 nucleotides) under uncultured bacterium. RNAcentral describes it as "bacterial SSU rRNA". It matches the Rfam family "Bacterial small subunit ribosomal RNA", at positions 330 to 793 of the family's 1533-position model. The record is from RNAcentral.
GCCAGACUCCUACGGGGGGCAGCAGUGGGGAAUAUUGCACCAUGGGGGAAACCCUGCUGCAGCGACGCCGCGUGAGUGACGACGUAAUUCGUUAUUUCCCGCUCUAUCAGCCUUGAAGAAAAUGCCGGUACCUGAUUCCUCCGCCCCGGCUCCCUCCGUGCCAUCCUCCUCGGUAAUCCUUCUUGGGCAAGCUUUCUCCGGAUUUACUGGGUGUAAAGGGAGCGUAGACGGAAAGGCAAGUCAGAAGUGAAAACCCAAGGCGCAACCAUGGGACUGCUUUUGAAACUGUCAAACUAGAGUACGGGAGAGGGAAGAGGAAUUCCGAGUGUAGCGGUGAAAUGCGUAGAGAGGAGGAGGAACACCAGUGGCGAAGGCGGCUUACUGGACCGAAACUGACGUUGAGGCUCGAAAGCGUGGGGAGCACACAGGAUUAGAUACCCCGGUAC